CUGCAAGCACAACCCUGCAGGAGACGAUGGAUGUCCCAGCAUGCUGCAGUUACUUCUCUUCGAUUACAUGGAUGGGACAGAAACACUAGAGGAGUUUCUAUUCUCUUUUGUGCAGCCGGCGAAUUCUCCGUGGGGAUCUCCAUCUAUCUGGCAGGUCACAUUACAGCCCUGCUGUUGUAACUGAUCCGUCCAUAGGUUUCUACAGAAGAAGUGCUAUUGAUGAAUUACUGCACAUGGCGCUGAGAGUUAUGUUGCAGAGUUGUUACUUUUCAACUAGAGAGCUUUCCUGGGAACUUUCCAUGAUCUGUUGGACAGCUAAGGAGUUUUGGACAAUAUAUAUAGAGCAUACGGCUGCCAUAACUCAUUGUGACCAAUAAACAAGGAAAGCAAAAAGGAUAGAAAAUGUGAAGAUCAAAGAGGCCAGCAGGACAUGCAUAUCUGUGAUUAGUGAUGAAUUUUACUGUGUUAGAGAAAGUGGACCGACUAUAAAAGAUGCUGGACCUCCUGGCAAGGCUGAAGCCCC
Molecule: long non-coding RNA, 523 nt
Filed under: Gallus gallus (chicken)
Lineage: Eukaryota; Metazoa; Chordata; Aves; Galliformes; Phasianidae
Source: RNAcentral